CGCGAGCCUCAAAGUGGAGUAGAGACGCUUCAUGGUUUCGGGCAAAUUUACUAAAUAUUUACUGAUAUCAUAAAUAUUUUACGAUUUAAUUGUUUAUGAUGCGAUUUAAUAACACGGUCUCUCUCCCUCAGCCUCGUCCGAUUGGCAAAUGAGAUCCGUAUCAAUGAAGCUAAUCAAAAUGACUAAAUGGUGAAUUCCCAGAACUUCCCCCGAGGCAUUUUUUUGCAUACCGAAGUUAAAUGUUUGACGGAAACAGAGGGGUGGAGUCAAGCAGAUGAUUGACAGAAAUCACCUGCGAGGAGAAGUGAACGUAAACGGUGAUGGACACCAGAAAAGAUUCAUCAGAACCUCUGGAUCUUAACAAAAAAGUAGAUCGAAAUCACACCCUCUUGAAAUCAGUGAUCUGAGUGCUGGAGAUGAGUUUGUAUCCAGAGGUCAGCGCCGGUCCAGUGGAUAAGACCGCUGAGAAAAGUCUCUUAUCAAAUCUGCAGAAGGACGUUCCUCUGACCUUCACAAACAUUCAGACCCCCACAGAUCCCUCCUCACUGUCCGUACAGUUCAGAUAAUCAUUUAUUUGUUACAUUUAUUUUGUCAAAUUGUGAAGGCUAUGAUUUUCAUGUCAUUUGCGCAUCAACAUAAUAAACAGAAACACAUUUACAGAAAUACACUGAAAUACUUCAGCAAAAUGUCUGUUCUGCUGGAUAAUAGAGCGUUCCCAACCAAACGCGACUUGUGUGAAUAAAUCACGCUAUUCACGCAUAGUUGGACAUUUUGAGUUUUCAAGUUUGGUGGGAACGCUGCA
Molecule: long non-coding RNA, 802 nt
Organism: Triplophysa dalaica
Lineage: Eukaryota; Metazoa; Chordata; Actinopteri; Cypriniformes; Nemacheilidae
Exons: 3
Source: RefSeq, a predicted model, not a curated record